Molecule: ribosomal RNA, 714 nt
Filed under: Triticum aestivum (bread wheat)
Lineage: Eukaryota; Viridiplantae; Streptophyta; Magnoliopsida; Poales; Poaceae
Description: partial small subunit ribosomal RNA
Source: RNAcentral
AUGGCGAGAUUCGCACCUAAAUCAAACCCCAGCCUCCAGUCCGCCGCCGCCGCCCACCCCCGUCACCGGAGUUCCGCCCGCCGCCUCCGCUCAUCGCCGAAGGCCGCCCGCGGCGCCCGCAUUUGCCUCACCGCCGUGUGGCAGGCCAUUGACAUGGAGGCGAUUUUCGCGAGCACUAAUCGCCUUCUCCAGGUAGCCACGGACUCCCAUGCGCAGCCCAGCGCUCUGGGACGCCUCCGACGGGUGCUGGAUGGCGCCGCGGCGCGUUGCAUCUCUGACGCCACCUUCACCGACUGGCUCAAAGUGACGUUGGACGACUUAAUUGUCCACGUUGACAAACUUGACAACUUCACAAGGACGGUUGACAACAUCACUGCUCGCCUCCGGUCCACGUGCCACCCUAAAGGCAGCCACCGCGGCGUCUCCCCAGCUGGCCAACUCGCCGGCCUCCAUGGAAAUGAUCUCUUUCGCACACUGAUGACCCUGCAACUGCCUGAGGCUGCGCCUGCGGAGUUCUUCCUGGAGGCCGCACUCGCUGCGCAGAGCCUCAUCAUGCAUGACCAGCUCGACCUUUUCAUCGAACUCAGUGAGAAGGUCAUCUUGGAGGGUGACACUAUGGCGGUCAACGAGUACAACCUCAUGGCCUUAAUGGACCACAGGAAAACUUUGGUGAAGUUCAUUCACGAGCACAUUAAACUCUCCUACGCGAAGUAA